Small nucleolar RNA from Jaculus jaculus (lesser Egyptian jerboa), 131 nucleotides. The record is from Ensembl. NCBI's taxonomy places the organism in Eukaryota, Metazoa, Chordata, Mammalia, Rodentia, Dipodidae.
UAGCCAGUCAAUUAGUCUGCUUAUCUGAAUGUGUUUCUGCAGAAAUGUAGAGAAAGUUGGCAAUAGUGAUGCCAUGUUACAAGCCUUAAGGGCAGCUGAGGUCGUUAAGGUCCCUGAAAAUGGCUACAAUA